UAGUUAAGGCGAUGGACUGCUAAUCCAUUGCUCUUUGAGCGCGAGAGUUCGAAUCUCUCCGCU
Molecule: transfer RNA, 63 nt
Filed under: uncultured Bolidomonas
Lineage: Eukaryota; Bolidophyceae
Description: partial tRNA
Rfam family: tRNA
About the family: Transfer RNA (tRNA) molecules are approximately 80 nucleotides in length.
Source: RNAcentral